This 482-nucleotide ribosomal RNA is filed under the name uncultured Bacteroidota bacterium. RNAcentral describes it as "bacterial SSU rRNA". It matches the Rfam family "Bacterial small subunit ribosomal RNA", at positions 355 to 835 of the family's 1533-position model. Lineage: Bacteria; Pseudomonadati; Bacteroidota. The record is from RNAcentral.
UAGGGAAUAUUGGUCAAUGGGUGGAAGCCUGAACCAGCCAUGCCGCGUGCAGGAAGAAGGCCUUCUGGGUUGUAAACUGCUUUUGCCAGGGGAUAAAAGAGCUAUGCGUAGCGAAUUGAAGGUACCUGGUGAAUAAGCCACGGCUAACUACGUGCCAGCAGCCGCGGUAAUACGUAGGUGGCAAGCGUUGUCCGGAUUUAUUGGGUUUAAAGGGUGCGUAGGCGGCCUAUUAAGUCAGUGGUGAAAUAUUUCAGCUUAACUGGAAUUGUGCCAUUGAUACUGAUGGGCUUGAGUACAGAUGAGGUAGGCGGAAUUGACGGUGUAGCGGUGAAAUGCUUAGAUAUCGUCAAGAACACCUAUAGCGAAGGCAGCUUACUAGGCUGUAACUGACGCUGAGGCACGAAAGUGUGGGGAUCAAACAGGAUUAGAUACCCUGGUAGUCCACACUGUAAACGUUGAUUACUCGCUGUGUGCGAUAUACA